GGUACCUGAAGAGAGGUUUUCUGGGUUUCUGUUUCUUUAAUGAGGAUGAAACACACCUGGUUAACCUCUUUUCCGGUA
Molecule: microRNA precursor, 78 nt
Filed under: Carlito syrichta (Philippine tarsier)
Lineage: Eukaryota; Metazoa; Chordata; Mammalia; Primates; Tarsiidae
Source: RNAcentral